Microplitis mediator is the source of this 508-nucleotide long non-coding RNA. RefSeq lists it as uncharacterized. The transcript has 3 exons. NCBI's taxonomy places the organism in Eukaryota, Metazoa, Arthropoda, Insecta, Hymenoptera, Braconidae. The record is from RefSeq and is a predicted model, not a curated record.
UACGAGGCCAGCCUUCAAAGGCAUAAGUAAUAAAAAAAAAGUUGUCGGCAAUUGUCUAACCCCUUUGUCUUGGUAAAAAUUAGUAAUUUAAUUAUUUUUCGUUAUUUAUUUGAAUAUAUAGUAAAUAAUUUAUGUCUUGACUACUUCAUAAGUCAUCAUGUUUGUCUGUGCGAUUGAUUGAUACGAAUGACUGGAUAUUUAAUAUCUAGAAUAUAUUUUUGAUAUUUUGAGUAUUUACUUGCUCGAAUAAUUGUUCAUCAUCAUUUUCUUCACUGAUGUUUCGUUGGUGCAAAAAUGCUUUGAGGAAAAAAUAAACUUCAGUGAGAGAUUAAUUGGAGUAAAAUUAAUUUAUUGAUUCCAAUCAUCAUGAAUCUCUUGUGGUUGCUCCGGAUGCUGGAAGCGCAGAAAUACGUCCGCUGAGGUUUUGACUGAUGGAAUUAUUUAAAAUCAAUUGUUAGAGAUGAAAAUAAAUUGUUUUUAUCGAGUGUCAAUUGUUAGAGGAACAGAU